Non-coding RNA from Araneus ventricosus, 73 nucleotides. The record is from the annotation of a GenBank genome assembly. Lineage: Eukaryota; Metazoa; Arthropoda; Arachnida; Araneae; Araneidae.
UGCCACUAUUGAGGAUUGAACUCACGACCCCUGGUUUACAAGACCAGUGCUCUAACCACUGAGCUAUGGCGGC